AUGCUUUCUUCGCUUCACACCUCGUCCCAUCUCUCCGUCUCCGUCUCUCACCAGCUCGCUUUAGAUCUGUCUGUGUGGGAAUGUAGGUCUCUCAGGGCCGGUCGGUCGGGUCAGAGCAGGCUUACGGCUGUAAUCUCCCCAGCAGACGUCCAUAUCAGGAGCGGCAGGAGGAGGUGUGACGCUCGUCUAGACGGGCCGCAGACGCUUCCCCUCCCCCAGAGACCUGCUGUUCCUGGCACACAACGGACCACGGGGCAUUCACAUUAUACUGAGGGAAUUUUCUCUCACAGAAACUCAUUCACAUUGUGUAUGAAGCCUCAUGGAAUAUUAAAAUGUGACAGCUGGGGGAAAACAAAAUGUGAAUCUGAAACUCAAAAACAAUGUGGGUCAUUAGUUGUGAGAUUUUCUGCCCAAAUAAACCACUUUUGACCAACAAAUUUCCAUGACUUUUACAGUUGAUCAUGAGUACUGGAUAAGUUUAGAAUAUUUUAUAAAUCUUGCGCACACAAUUGCUAGCAGAAAUAAAUAAAUAAAUAGUAAAGAUGCAGUCGACCAUGAUUAAUGGACAAAUAUAAAAAAAUAUUAUAAAACUUGCAAUCACAAUU
This is a long non-coding RNA of Cyprinus carpio carpio, 605 nucleotides long. The record is from Ensembl. NCBI's taxonomy places the organism in Eukaryota, Metazoa, Chordata, Actinopteri, Cypriniformes, Cyprinidae.